Molecule: long non-coding RNA, 7744 nt
Filed under: Capsicum annuum
Lineage: Eukaryota; Viridiplantae; Streptophyta; Magnoliopsida; Solanales; Solanaceae
Description: long non-coding RNA (CANN_LNC014786)
Source: RNAcentral
ACCUAACCCGGCCCAAUACUACUUCUUAAUCUCCCUCAAACAACAACCUUCAACAAGAGUAAGAACAUAUCUCUAAAUCGCUCAACAUAGCAACACGACCAACUCUAAAUACCCGAUCCCAUCGGCUUCAACAACAGCAGCAAAAACCCGAUUUCAUCAGGCCAAUCCAUCUAUUUUUCUUCACACGCAUCUCACGCAUCCGUAGGACAAGAAAAGGAUUCGAAAAUCUUCUAGAAGCGAUGAGGUGUCCUGCCCAACGUCCAUAUUCCUUAAAGCUUGGGAUGAAGGUACAUAUUUGGAUAAUUUUGAUUGGCCUGAGGGAGAUUAUUCCAUUUCCCUAUUUUUUAUUGCCCCUCUUCCAAAAUCCGUUGGAGGAAAAUCCAAAAUUAGGGGAUUUAAGGAUGAAUACGGAAGCUGUAGAGGGAUUUUUUUUGAAUUUCAAAUUCAUAAAAAUCUAUUUUUAGAAUUCCAAAAAACCCCUAAUCCGGUCUUAUAUAUAAGGACCCAUUACUUAACUGUUUUAGGGAGAGAAAACUAUAGGGGGAGAUUCUAGAGUUGGAAAUUCUUUGGAAAACUUCUAGGGUUAGGAAUUUUAGUGCAAAAAGAUUUUCUGAGAGCUAGUUAGGUCGGAGAAGAGAGAGUGGAAAAUUUUCUUUCUGUGAAAGUAAAGGAAAAACAGAGAAAAGAGGGAUUGAGAGAAGAGGGAACUGCUCCUUAGCAAAAAACUCUAGAGAAAGCGAUGUGCCAGUCGAGAUUUUUGUAAAAGACAUCGAGUUUUUGGUGGUAGUUAAAAUUCCUUCGAAGCCUCGAGUCUCGUUUUGCUGCUCCGAAAUAGGUAAUUCUCAGUCCCCUUUAGUUUUCAGUUAUUUCUACUUCAUCUCGUCAUUCUGUAGACAUAGUGUUGUUCACGAUAAUCUUGUAUGCUGGAGUAGCUGUAGAGGCCUUGUCGGUUGUAGGAUUUGAUUGAUCUUUAUGAUGUUUGCUGAACCAUUAGUUAUCCCAUGUUGUGAUUUCUUUGAGCAUAUUUUUUGCGGUGAUAUGUUGAUUAGUUAAAGCAUCAUUGAUCACCAAGUUGUUGUCUUUCCCUGUUCAUUGCGUUAUCCUGAGUUAAAGACCCCUGUUGUAAGAUGUUAAAAUGUGUAGUUUUUCUUUAAAUCUUUUAGAACUUUGGGUCGGUUUGGCUUAAAUUUCAUGUUUUCUUUUGUUGGGCUUGCUCUCGAAACUAUUGUAACAUUAGAGUUCAUUCAUCCCGAGCAUGUUAUCUUCAUAUUUUGGAGUAUUAUGAUUUGACUAGCUGCUGUAGUGUUCGAAUGUUUUCAGUCUAUUUGUAUCAUUUAAGUGUAGUUUAGUUUUGUUUUCUUUAUCACUUGCUCCGCAAACCUGUAAUCGCUAUGUUGUUUGUAGGGUUGUUUGCUGUAGAAGCCUUAAAGGCCAUAGGUUUCUCUUUAGUAAAGAAAAAUGUUUAGUUGCGUUGUUAUAUUUGGUUGUUUCCUAUUUGAAUCUUUUGAUAUGUGGUUUAUGUCAUUCUUGUCUCGAUUUUAUAGUCUGUCAUGUAAUCUUAACAUUAUCAAGUAAUUUUCGAUAUGGAUCCUUAUCUUAUGCACUGUUUGUGUCUUGAAUCUCUGGUUUCAUGGUCAAAAUUCAUGUCUUGAUUAUCGUUUAACAGUUCAGCCUGAUGUUUUGUCUCGUUCGAAGUUGAUAUAUGACGUUUUCUUUUCUGUCGUUAUUGGUGGGAUGUUGUCGUAACUGUCGAGUUUGAUAGGACUACUUCUUGAGGUUCUUGUACUCUUUCUAUAUAUUUACACCCUAAUAAUAGAUUUAGAAAGGUCCGAAAUAUAGCUCAUUUCUUUUGUAUUGAUACAUGGUUUCAAUGUGAGUUUCUUGCUUAUUUUUUCUUUGUGUCUUGUUUUCUUGUUUUAUUUUCAAUUCCAAAGAUGGAAUUUACCUGCUUUCUCUAUUAGUACUACCAGGUUCUCAUUGUGUAUGCUAUCUUAUCAAAUUGCAUCUUUAAUCCCUUAUAACUGGUUCCUCAGUUUAUGACUUGAGGAUUAGUUUCCCUGCACUUUACUUGUCAUAAAGUUUAGAUCCCAGUUUGUUUGAUUAUUCGAUCUGCUAAAAUUAUGUAUGUUGCCAGUGUAAUCCCUUAAGAGUUUUAACAGUCCUGUAGCUCGAGUUUGCUGAUCCAAGUCUAUCUUUGCAUUCAUGCAGUUGUAGUUUAGAUGUUUGUCAUGUUUCAAAAGAAUUGAAGUUUUAAAUGAGUAGAUCAUGGAAAUAUAUGUUCUCACUUCAAAAUUAUAAAUACAAACCUUCCAAAAUAAGAUUAGUUUGCUUGCGUGUAUGUGUUAACAUAGGUAAGUAAUUACAUAAACAUUUAUCAUACAUGUGAGCCGACUAGUCAAGGAGUAUAUUUUUUAAACUAAUAGUAAAAAGUUGACAUUUACUCCUGACAAAGAUGGCAAAUUUAUUUGUAGCCUUGCAACCAAAUAUAUGAACUUAUAAAUCCAUUCUUUUUUCAAUUGAAGUAUGAUACGGAGUGUGAUUUUAUCUUUGCUGAAUUAACCUGGUUCUUUUUAUUCUAUUUUGCCCACUACUAAAUAAAAAUGCAUAAUAUUUUAGCACAUUUUGUUUGAAUGUUAAUGUUUGGGCAUUUAUUCAUUACUCUAUUUUUCUUUCGCAUGUGGACACGCCCGAGUUCUACUUAUGCCCAUUGUGGGUCAUUGAGCCCCAUUUAUCCCCGAGUCAAUUCCUAGAGAAAGUCCAACCUUAAUCUCGUAGGAAAGGGAUACAAGGAGUCGAAAGAUUGAGGAAGAUAGGUCAAAGUCCACCUUUGAAGCGGCUAAGAGACUUGAAAAUCUCAUUUUCUCAUUUAUUCAUUCGUGUUGUUGUCUUUAUUUAUUUAUUCCUUUAUCUAUUUUAUUUGUCUAUUUAUUUGGGCCUCGAAGCCAAAGUUGUAAACUAAUACAGGUGGAGCGAAACUCAAGCCAAACACACGAAAAUAUAGAAUUAGGACAGGUGAUAAUGGGUCAAAAAAUCCAACUAGAUUAGGAUAGGGUCGACGAUUUGGGCUUAAAUGCCUAAAUCACUACUUCUCCCCUUCCCCUUUUCCUUUUGCUUACUUGCUUAUAUGAGAUUAUAUAAAUUUUGUUAUUUAAAUGAACAUUUUUUUUUCAAAAUUAGAAUUUAUUGAUUAAACUUGAAAAUUAAUCCAAACAGCUAAAGUCUUGAUUUUAAAUGUGAUUUGUUCUCAAAUUAUUGUAUUUGGAGGAAUAUUUGUUUGAUUUUUAUCAAAUUAAGAAACUCAGGAUUAAUUUUUCACUUAAUUCGUGUCAGAUUGCGAUUCAAUUUGGUCCAUUAAUUAAAUUUGACUUCAAUUGAAAUCAAAUUGGCCCCAAUUGUGAUACAAUAAGCCAAUCGAUAUUCAAUUGGGCUAGAAUUUAAAUGAAAUGGCCUAAGUUGUAAUUCAACAUCCCAAUUUUAAUUCCCAAAACACACUUAGACCGCCCAGGACCAAUCUAAACUACACCUAACCCGGCCCAAUACUACUUCUUAAUCUCCCUCAAACAACAACCCUCAACAAGAGCAAGAACAAAUCUCUAAAUCGCUCAACAUAGCAAUACGACCAACUCCAUAUUCCGCAAAUCUUGGGAUGAAGGUACUUAUUUGGUUAAUUUUGAUUGGCCUGAGGGAGAUUAUUCCAUUUCCCUAUUUUCUAUUGGCCCUCUUCCAAAAUCCGUUGGAGGAAAAUCCAAAAUUAGGGGAUUUGAGGACAAAUACGGAAGCUGUAGAGGGAUUUUUUUCAAAUUUCAAAUUCAUAAUAUCCUAUUUUUAGAAUUCCUAAAAACCCCUAAUUCGGUCAUUUAUAUAAGGACCCAUUGCUUCACUGUUUUGGGGAGAGAAAAAUAUAGGGGGAGAUACUAGAGUUGGAAAUUCUUUGGAAAACUUCUAGGGUUAGAAAUUUCAGCGCAAAAAGAUUUUCUGAGAGCUAGCUAGGUCGGACAAGAGAGAGUGGAAAAAUUUUCUUUCUGAGAAAGCAAAGGAUAAACCGAGAAAAGAGGGGUUGAAAGAAGAGGGAACUGUUUCUUAGCAAAAAACACUAGAGAAAGCGGAGGAUAAACCGAGAAAAGAGGGGUUGAAAGAAGAGGGAACUGUUUCUUAGCAAAAAACACUAGAGAAAGCGGUGUGCCAGUCGAGAUUUUUGUAAAAGACAUCAACUUUCCGAUGGUAGUUAAAAUUUCAUCGAAGCCUCAAGUCCUGUUUUGCUGCUCCGAAAUAGGUAAUUCUUAAUCCCCUUUAGUUUUCAUUUAUUUCUACUUCAUCUCGUCAUUCUGUAGACAUAGUGUUGUUCACGAUAAUCUUGUAUGCUGGAGUAGCUGUAAAGGCCUUGUCGGUCGUAGGAUUUGAUUGAUCGUUAUGAUGUUUGCUGAACCAUUGGUUAUCCCAUGUUGUGAUUUCUUUGAGCAUAUUUUUUGCGGUGAUAUGUUCAUUAGUUAAAGCAUCGUUGAUCACCAAGUUGUUGUCUUUCCCUUUUCAUUGCGUUAUCUUGAGUUAAAGACCCCUGUUGUAAGAUGUUAAAAUAUUUAGUUUUUCUUUAAAUCUGUUCAGAACUUUGGGUUGGUUUGGCUUAAAUUUCAUGUUUUCUUUCGUUGGGCUUGCUCUCGAAACUGUUGUAACAGUAGAGUUCAUUCAUCUCGAGCAUGUUAUCUUCAUAUUUUGAAGUAUUAUGAUUUGACUAGCUACUGUAGUGUUCGAAUUUUUUCAGUCUAUUUGUAUCAUUUAAGUGUAGUUUAGUUUCAUUUUCUUCAUCACUUACUCCGUAAACCCGUAAUCGCUAUGUUGUUUGCUGGGUUGUUUGCUGUAGAAGCCUUAAAGGACAUAGGUUUCUCUUUAGUAAAGAAGAAUGUUUAGUUGCGUUAUUACGUUAGGUUGUUUCCUGUUUGAAUCUUUUGAUUUGUGGUUUCUGUCAUUCUUGUCUCGAUUUUAUAGUCUGUCAUGUAAUCUUGACAUUAUCAAGUAAUUUUUUAUAUGGAUCCUCAUCUUAUGCACUGUUUGUGUCCUGAAUCUCUGAUUUCAUGGUCAAAAUUUAUGUCUUGAUUCUCGUUUAACAGUUUAGCUUGAUGUUUUGUGUCAUUCGAAAUUGAUAUAUGACGUUUUGUUUUUUGUAGUUAUUGUUAGUAUGCUGUCGUAACUGUCGAGUAUGAUAGGACUACUUCUUGAGGUCCUUGUAUUGUUUCUAUAGAUUUAGACCCUAAUAAUAGAUUUAGAAAGGUCCGAAAUGUAGCUCAUUUCUUUUUUAUUGAUACAUGGUUUCAAUGUGAGUUUCUUGCUUAUUUUUUCUUUGUGUCUGGUUUUCUUGUUUUAUUUUCAAUUCCAAAGAUGGAAUUUGCCUGCUUUCUCUUCUAGUACUCACAAGUUCGCAUUGUGUAUGCUAUCUUAUUAAAUUGCAUCUUUAAUCUCUUAUAAGUGAUUCCUCAGUUUAUGACUUGAGGAUUAGUUUCCCUGCACUUUACUUGUCAUAAAGUUUAGAUCCCAGUUUGUUUGAUUAUUUGAUCUGCUAAAAUUAUGUAUGUUGCCAGUGUAAUCCCUUAGGAGUUUUAACAGUCGGAUAGCUCGAGUUUGCUAAUCCAAGUCUUUCUUUGCAUUCAUGCAGUUGUAGUUUAGAUGUUUGUCAUGUUUCAAAAGAAUUGAAGUUUUAAAUGAGUAGAUCAUGGAAAUAUAUGUUUUCACUUCAAAAUUUUAAAUACAAACCUUCCAAAAUAAGAUUAGUUUGUUUGCAUGUAUGUGUUAACAUGGGUAAGUAAUUACAUAAACAUUUAUCAUACAUGUGGGCCGACUAGUCAAGGAGUAUAUUUUUUGAACAUAAUAGUAAAAGUUGACAUUUACUCCUGACAAAAGAUGGCAGAUUUAGUUGUAGCCUUGCAACCAAAUAUAUGAACUUAUAAACCCAUUCUUUUCUCAAUUGAAGUAUGAUAUGGAGUGUGAAUUUAUCUUUGUUGAAUUAACCUGGUUCUUUUUAUUCUAUUUUGCCCACUACUAAAUAAAAAUGCAUAAUAUUUUAGCAUAUUUUGUUUGAAUGUUAAUAUUUGGGCAUUUAUUCAUUACUCUAUUUUUCUUUCGCAUGUGGAAAUGCCCGAGUCCUAUUUAUGACCAUUGUAGGUCAUUAAGGCCCAUUUAACCCCAAGUCAAUUCCUAGAGAAAGUCCAACCUUAACCUCGUAGGAAAGGGAUACAAGGAUUCGAAAGAUUGAGGAAGAUGGGUCGAAGUCCACCUUUGAAGCGGCUAAGAGACUUGAAAGUCUCAUUUUCUCAAUUAUUCAUUCGUAUUGUUGUCUUUAUUUAUUUAUUCCUUUAUCUAUUUUAUUUGUCUAUUUAUUUGGGCCUCGAAGCCAAAGUUGUAAACUAAUACAGAUGGAGCGAGACUCAAGCCAAACGCACGAAAAUAUAGAAUUAGGACAGGUGAUAAUGGGUCAAAAAACCCAACUAGAUUAGGACAGGGUCGACGAUUUGGGCUUAAAUGCCUAAAUCACUACUUAUCCCCUUCCCCUUUUCCUUUUGCUUACUUGUUUUACGUGUUUCUUGCGAAUAUAGUUGAAUCCUAACUAAGUCGCUAAAAAACUGAUUUUGCAAAAACUUUUCCUUAAUCGGUUACUUCUCAAACAAAUUGAUUUUCUUAGUUAAUCAAAGAUGAUUUUCAAAUAGUCCGGAUAACCGCAAGUUAGCGGACGUUUUAGGUGCCUAACACCUUCCUAAAACGUUAAUAGGAACCGCCUAUCUAGAAUCUCUAACUUAAAAUGAUUUUUUGGAUCGUUUGAAGUAAUUCUCUAAAGGUUUCUUAAUUUCUUUUAAAAUUAAGUGGCGACUCUCUCUAAAAAAGUCAAAAUUUCUCCGCAAAACAGAAAUGGCGACUUGCUGAGGAAUUUGAAAUAGGUUCUAACCAAAUAUUUGAUUUUCGUCUUUUGAUUAACUGUUUAUGUGUUUAUAUGUUUCGAUUCUGUAAAGUUUAACUAUCGCAUCUCAUGGAAUAUUUCUGCAUUAUUUAAACUGUUUUGGGGUUUCGUGGAUGUCCCGGCCCUUAUUGUUCAAUUCCAAAAUAUGUUGGAAAUACGAACGACUUAUUAGCACGUGAGUCGUCUGAUGGUUGUUUGUAUUUUCAAAAUCAAGUUGUCCGUUUGAGAACCAGUGUUCAAACCCACUCUAGAUACCUCGGAUAAAAUGAAACCAAAACCCUAUUUUAGGCAUGAGCCUAGGACGACCCAAUACCCGAGCGGGGUAUUGGGCCCAUUAGAAAACCUGCUCUUCGUCUUUGACCCCGAGGCAAUUAUAGACGAACCAUAUUUAUGUGUUGAAGAAAAUGUAUGUCUGUCUAAUUCAAUCCAUUAUCCUUUAGGGGUCGAGAAAAAGCUUGAUUUGCUUACUUUCGUAAGAAGAAUUGAAGCAAGUUAAGCAAGAAAUUGAUCGAUUUGGGAGGUUGCAUCUAAGGCAUAUUUUGAACGUCAAUGGAUGUCACCAAUAUAAGAAAUGGACGAAGCUAAGAAGGUGAAGGCUGAUAGAAGAAGCACUCAUGAAUUAAUAUUUUCUAUCCCCUGUGUGGGAACGUGCCUUCUUUCUUGUUAUUUCCCUUUCCCUAAAGAUUGUAUCCCUCUUUUGUUAUCUUUUGUAGGCAUUUAUGCCCUUUUAGUGUCUAUAAAAGUUGGGGGAUAAUGGAUUGACCUUAAACAAGCAUAUAUUUUUCUUCAAAAAUCGUUAGG